UUUUGCUAUUACUGUCUCUGGUGAGUCCUCUCUCUUGCUCUUGCUUGCUUGCACUGAUGAAGUAAGCUGCCACGUUGUGAGAUGCUCAACGAAGAGGCCCAUGAGGCAGGGCACCGAGGGAGGCUUCUGGCCAACAGCUCCUGGGGAACCAAGGCCUUAGGAAGUGAGUCCUGCCAACAAUAACGAGAGCCUUGAACUUUGAAACCACAGUACCUUGUUCCAGCGUGGAAAGCAGCGUGGCACUUCCCGGUGGUGAAAGCACCCCAGCUUGAAAGGGUGAAAACACCUUCUCCCAGAUAGUCUCCCUUUGUUUAGCCAGUGCUUUUGCCUUAAGGAAAUCAAAUGAAGGUAUGCUCCUUGGUUGGCUGCUGAAUCUGUCCUUCCUUGUCAGCUUUGCCCAGAGCAGCAGGCUUUGAGCUCUGGGAGGAUUUCCAGGUGGC
Molecule: long non-coding RNA, 440 nt
Filed under: Homo sapiens (human)
Lineage: Eukaryota; Metazoa; Chordata; Mammalia; Primates; Hominidae
Description: non-protein coding lnc-NUMB-1:2
Source: RNAcentral